This 181-nucleotide unclassified non-coding RNA is filed under the name plant metagenome. RNAcentral describes it as "partial contains small subunit ribosomal RNA and internal transcribed spacer 1". The stretch from base 1 to 46 matches the Rfam family "Eukaryotic small subunit ribosomal RNA", at positions 1786 to 1831 of the family's 1831-position model. The record is from RNAcentral.
AAGUCGUAACAAGGUUUCCGUAGGUGAACCUGCGGAAGGAUCAUUAAAGAAUACCGGGUCUUACAGCCCUAUUCUCACCCUUUGUAUACCAAACUUUGUUGCUUUGGCAGCGCCUUCAGGGCCUGCCAGAGGACUGAAACCCUAGAAUCUCUGCUGUCUGAGUACUAUAUAAUAGUUAAAA